CCUACGGGGGGCAGCAGUGAGGAAUAUUGGUCAAUGGACGGAAGUCUGAACCAGCCAAGCCGCGUGAGGGAGGACGGUACUGUGAGUUGUAAACUUCUUUUGUCCGGGGGCAAAGACAGAGACGCGUACCCGGCUGAAUGUAUCGUAAGAAAAAGGAUCGGCUAACUCCGUGCCAGCAGCCGCGGUAAUACGGAGGAUGCGAGCGUUAUCCGGAUUUAUUGGGUUUAAAGGGUGCGUAGGCGGUCUGUUAAGUUAGCGGUGCAAUCCCGGGGCUUAACGUCGGAACUGCCGUUGAUACUGGCAGACUAGAGAGGAGGAGAGGUAGGCGGAAUGCACGGUGUAGCGGUGAAAUGCUUAGAGA
RNAcentral lists this ribosomal RNA (361 nucleotides) under uncultured bacterium. RNAcentral describes it as "partial 16S ribosomal RNA". It matches the Rfam family "Bacterial small subunit ribosomal RNA", at positions 338 to 696 of the family's 1533-position model. The record is from RNAcentral.